RNAcentral lists this ribosomal RNA (182 nucleotides) under uncultured bacterium. RNAcentral describes it as "partial 16S ribosomal RNA". It matches the Rfam family "Bacterial small subunit ribosomal RNA", at positions 1321 to 1500 of the family's 1533-position model. The record is from RNAcentral.
CGAAGCUGGAAUCGCUAGUAAUCGCGGAUCAGCACGCCGCGGUGAAUACGUUCCCGGGCCUUGUACACACCGCCCGUCACACCAUGAGAGUCUGUAACACCCAAAGCCGGUGGGAUAACCUUUAUAGGAGUCAGCCGUCUAAGGUAGGACAGAUGAUUAGGGUGAAGUCGUAACAAGGUAGC